GUGGGGAAUUUUGGACAAUGGGCGCAAGCCUGAUCCAGCGACGCCGCGUGGAGGACGAAGGCCUUCGGGUUGUAAACUCCUUUUGGAGGGGAAGAAUAAAUUGACGGUACCCUCAGAAAAAGCCACGGCUAACUACGUGCCAGCAGCCGCGGUAAUACGUAGGUGGCGAGCGUUACUCGGAAUUACUAGGCGUAAAGCGUAUGUAGGUGGUUAGAUAAGUCUAUGGUGAAAUUUCCUGGCUUAAAUGGGAAGGGACAUAGAUACUAUCUGGCUUGAGGGUGGGAGGGGGAGACGGAAUUCCUGGUGUAGCGGUGAAAUGCGUAGAUAUCAGGAGGAACACCGAUGGCGAAAGCAGUCUCCUGGCCCAAUACUGACACUGAGGUACGAAAGCUAGGGUAGCAAACAGGAUUAGAUACCCGAGUAGUCC
RNAcentral lists this ribosomal RNA (427 nucleotides) under uncultured bacterium. RNAcentral describes it as "partial 16S ribosomal RNA". It matches the Rfam family "Bacterial small subunit ribosomal RNA", at positions 354 to 796 of the family's 1533-position model. The record is from RNAcentral.